Molecule: transfer RNA, 72 nt
Filed under: Megasphaera elsdenii
Lineage: Bacteria; Bacillati; Bacillota; Negativicutes; Veillonellales; Veillonellaceae
Description: tRNA-Ala
Rfam family: tRNA
About the family: Transfer RNA (tRNA) molecules are approximately 80 nucleotides in length. Their secondary structure includes four short double-helical elements and three loops (D, anti-codon, and T loops).
Source: RNAcentral
GCGGAGUAGCUCAAUGGUAGAGCCAAGGGUUUGCAAGCCCCAUUGUCGCUGGUUCGAGUCCAGCCUCCGCCC